This 16049-nucleotide long non-coding RNA is filed under the name Lynx pardinus (Iberian lynx). Lineage: Eukaryota; Metazoa; Chordata; Mammalia; Carnivora; Felidae. The record is from RNAcentral.
CAAAAGCCCUGAGAUCAUGACCUGAGCCAAGUCAGACUGGGCUACCCCGGUGCCUCUCAUAACAAUUCUUUGAAAGGAAGGAGGAAGUUACUAGCCAGCAAGAACUGGCUAUUUUCAGGCACAGAGGAAGGUGUUGGGAAUAUGCAGUAAGUACUCUCUUUCCCUGGCUCUGUUUUAUAACCCCUUCUUCCUCUCUUUGAAACUCUUUCUUUGGAUUAAUUAGUCCAAUGUUCUCUUGAGUUUCCUCUUAUCUUUCUAGUCCUUCUCAGUCUCCUUUGCUAGUUCUACUCCCUUUUGUCCAUUAGAACUUGAAUCCUUUUGAAAAGGCAAAAGCUUGCAGCGUCCAAAAUGAUUUUUUUUUUUUAUGGAACUUAACUCAGAACAUUAUUUUUGCCAUGUGCAAAACAGUUUACUUUUAGGUUAUUCCCAAUGAAAGUUAGAAUUGGAAAGAAAGGAAAAGGAACCAGAAGCGUGGUAGGUUAAAAAUGUGCUGAGAUAGCUCCUCACAAUGUGAAAAUAAAACUGGCUUCUUAACAAAUGGCAGAAAUGUCCUAGUGCUUUUACUAAUCCAUUUAAAAUCCGGUAAAAAUAGGGCACCUGGGGGGCUCAGUCAGUUAAGCGACUAACUCUUGAAUUCGGCUCAGGUCAUGAUCCCAGGGUCGUGGGAUGAGUCCCUUGUUGGGUUCUAUGCUGAGUAUGGAGCCUGCUUGAGAUUCUGUCUCUUCCUCUCUCUCUGCCACUUCCCCACUCACAUCUGUCUCAAAAUAAAUAAAUAAACUUGAAAAAAUAAAUUAAAAAUAAAAUCUGCUUAAACCUAUUUCUAAUUGCAUUCAAAAACAUUUUUGGCUACAUCAAAUUAGUUAAUACAAUUCAGAAUAAUAAUAACCAUUUGUAAAUAAAAUUAGGAACUCUCAUUGGAAAUGCUAAGAACUACCUGAAUGUGUGCAAGGAGUAGACCAUUAUCUCCCUGCCAAGUCUGUAUGUCCAUGUUGUUAUUGAUAUAAAGGGCAGUUCUAAUAUCCAUAUAUAUAUUAACUCUUUAAAUUUCAUUGGAAAUGAAUUUUAUUGUGUACCUUUCAUGGACCACUUAGCUAGUGUGCUUAACUUUUUAGAGUGAUUGUGGGGAUGGGGGACAGGAACAAAGAUGUGUGUCAGUUGGGGGGUGGGGUUGGGCAGGUAGUGGUUAUAGCUAUGGCCAAGAAGCGUUCUCAGAUCUUGACCAGUUCUUUAAAAAAGGUAUGUUAUGUUUUCAUCAGGAAGAGGAGAAGUAGCAUAAAUAAUUUAGGGAACCCUACAUCAAUACUUUAAAAGGAAUUAGAACACACCCUUCUAAUUAUCAUUGAAUCUGCUUUUAUAAUGAAAAAUAAUAACUUUUUCCCUCAUGAUGAAAGUAAUCCAUAUUCAUUUAUUUAAUUUAGAAAAUAUAGACAAGCAAAUGGAAGAAAUCACACCUGUAAUCCCAUCACCCACAGAUAUACUUUCUAUAUUCUUCCAUUCAUUUCGUACCAAAUGGUGUCAUAGUAUACACCCCAUUUGUAACUUGUUUCUUUCACAGAGCAAUAUUGUUACUAUCCUUUGACAAAAAUCUCUAAAUCUAAAUCUAUCAAUAUCUAAAGCAUGAAAUGGGUAAUCCUCAAAAUUCUAGUUUUUAUUACCAUGGAACUAAUAAACUUAACUUUCAAGUUAAGUUUACAGGCUACAGAUGUGUUCACAUAGUCAUAAUAUGUUUUUGUAAAAUUUGCGGAAAUAAGAUAUUAAAAAAAUUUUUUUCUUAAAGAGAACCCUUCCCAAUUUUACAAGUGUGAGGUCUCACAAAACCUGCAUCAAUCCCUGGUAGUACAUCCUUUCCUUUCCCACUUCCAUUAAUUCAGCAAAUAUUUUUGAGUAUUUAUUAUGGGCCACACACUGUUCUAGGUACUUGAGACACAUCAAUGGACAAAACUGAAAGAGACUUACUCUGCAGUGAGGAGAGGGAGGCAGCGGACACAAGGAAGUAAUUAUGUUGUAUGCUGUCCAGUGGUAUUUGCUGUGGAGAAACAGCAGGGAAGAGGGUAAAGGAGAUUACUAUUUUGGCAAAGAGAGGAGGUCUGGUAAAAUUAAACAAGAUGGGUGAAGCCUCAUAGAAAAGAGAACAUUUGUGCCAAGACAGGGAGCCCAUUUUUUUGAGAGCAUUUAUACAUCCUUCUCAUUAUUAUUUCAGUGUAUACAAAUAUUGAAUCAUUGUGCUGUAUACCUGAACUAGUAUAAUGUUAGAUGUCAAUUACACCUCACUAAGAAAAAACUCACAGCAUUUUAAAGUUUUAUCUCUAACCAGGAUUAAAUACAUAUAAACUUUUAUUUUUAACCAGGAUUAAAUACGUUACGUACAUAGGUGCAUAUGAACAUAUACCUAUACAUAGUUUAAAAUUUUGUUUUAAAUAUAGUUUUGCUUGGUAACAACUUAAUAAUUCUACUAACAUGAAAAUAAUAGAUUUUAAAUGGAAAUGAGAGGAAUGGCUGUCCUGAGUUCUUGACCCUUUCACAAUGAUUUACAAGAAAUUACAUAACCUUGAUUUUAAAAAUCAUAAUUUAAGGGGCGCUUGGGUGACUCAGUCAGUUAAGCAUCCAACUCUUGAUUUCAGCUCAGGUCAUGAUCUCACAGUCAUGGGAUUGAGGCCUGCAUCGGGAUCUGUGCUGAUAGCAUGAAGGCUGCUUGGAAUUCUCCCUCUCUCUUUCUCUCUCUCUCUCUUUGCCCCUCCCCUGCUCAUGUUCUCUCUCUCUGUCUCUCUCAAAAUAAAAUAGAUUAAAAUAAAAAUUUUUUAAAAUCACAAUUUAAGGCUUGUCUAGCACAGGCAGCCCACAGAGAGUAGAAUCUGAUACUUUUUACAACUGCUAAAGUACACAUCUGAAUGAUACAGAAGUUCCCAAAUUUAAAGGGCACUGCUGUACAUGGUGGAAAAAAACCUCUUGUCAACAGAAUGCAAUUUAUACUAACCCUAAAAUUUGAUGGCACUUUUGAUUCUGCCUAUUUUUAAAAGGCAUAUAUUUAUGUAUAGAUUAUACAUAAGAAGCCUAGAAUGAUAUGCAGGAAAAUGUCAACAGUACUUAUUUUUGUGCUUAUUGGUAGCGAGCUUAUUUUGUGACUAUCUACACCUUUUGACUUUUCCACAAUGUGCACAUGUUACUUGAAUAAAAACAUAAUUUUUAUGUUUUCCAUGCUUCCAUAUUUGACUUUUUUUCUUUUUAAUUUUUUAAAUUUACAUCCAAGUUAGUUGGCAUAUAGUGUACAAAGAUUUCAGGGGGAGAUUCCUUAAUGCCCCUUACCAUUUAGCCCAUCCCCCUUCCCACAACCUCUCCGGUAACCCUCUGUUUUUUCCCCAUAUUUAAGAGUCUCUUAUGUUUUGUUUCCCUCCCUGUUUUUAUAUUAUUUUUGCUUCCCUUCCUUUGUGUUCAUCUGUUCUGUGUCUUAAAGUCCUCAUAUGAGUGAAGUCAUAUGAUAUUUGUCUUUCUCUGACUAAAUUCGCUUAGCAUAAUAUCCUCUAGUUCCAUCCAUGUAGUUGCAAAUGGCAAGAUUUCAUUCUUUUUGAUUGCCGAGUAAUACUCCAUUGUGUGUGUGUGUGUGUGUGUGUGUGUGUGUGUGUGGUGUGUGGUGUGUGUGUGUAUACGUGUAUACCACAUCUUCUUUAUCCAUUUAUCUAUCGAUGGACAUUUGGGUUCUUUCCAUACUUUGGCUAUUGUUGAUAGUGCUGCUAUAAACAUUGGGGUGCAUGUGUGCCUUUGAAACAACACUCCUGUAUCCCUUGUGCAGUUACUGGGUCAUAGGGUAGUUCUAUUUUUAAUUUUUUGAGGAACCUCUGUACUGUUUUCCAGAGUGGCUGCACCAGCUUGCAUUCCCGCUAAUAAUGCAAAAGAGAUCCUUUUUCUCUGCAUCCUUGCCAACAUCUGUUGUUGCCUGAGUUGUUAAUGUUAGCUGUUCUGACAGGUGUGAUGUAGUAUCUCAUUGUGGUUUUGAUUUAUAUUUCCCUGAUGAUGAGUGAUGUUGAGCAUUUUUUUCAUGUGUUGGUUAACCAUCUGGAUGUCUUGUUUGGAGAAGUGUCUAUUCAUGUCUUUUGCCCAUUUCUUCCCUGGAUUAUUUGGGUUUUUCUGGGUGUUGAGUUUGAUAAGUUCUUUAUAGAUUUUGGACACUAACCCUUUAGCAGAUAUGUCAUUUGCAAAUACUUCUCCCAUUCUCUCAGUUGCCUUUUAGUUUUGCUGAUUGUUUCCUUCGCUGUGCAGAAGCUUUUUAUUCUGAUGAGGUCCCAGUAGUUCAUUUUUGCUUUUGUUUCCCUUGCCUCUGGAGAUGUGUUAAGUAAGAAGUUGCUGUGGCCAAGAUCAAAGAGGUUUUGCCUGCUUUCUCCUCGAGGAUUCUGAUCGUUUCCUGUCUUACGUUUAGGUCUUUCAUCCAUUUUGAGUUUAUUUUUGUGUAUGGUGUAAGAAAGUGGUCCAGGUUCAUUUUUCUGCAUGUUGCUGUCCAGUUUUCCCACCACCACUUGCUGAAAAGAGUGUCUUUAUUCCACUGGAUAUUCUUUUCUGCUUUGUUAAAGAUUAGUUGGCUAUACGUUUGUGGGCCCAUUUCCGGGUUCUCUAUUCACUUCCACUGAUCUGAGUGUCUGUUUCUGUGCCAGUACCAUACUGUCUUGAUGAUUACAACUUUGUAAUAAAGCUUGAAGUUCGGGAAUGUGAUGCCUCCUGCUUUGGUUUUCUUUUUCAAGAUUGCUUUGCCUAUUCAGGGUCUUUUCUGGUUCCAUACAAAUUUUAGGAUUGUUUGUUCUAGCUCUGUGAAGAAUGUUGGUGUUAUUUUGAUAGGGAUUACAUUCAAUAUGUAGAUUGCUUUGGGUAGUAUUGACAUUUUAAUAAUAUUUGUUCUUCCAAUCAGGAAGCAUGGAAUAUUUUUCCUUUUUUGUGUGUGUCUUCUUCAAUUUCUUUCAUAAGCUUUCUAUAGUUUUCAGUCUAUAGAUUUUUCACCUUUUUGGUUAGAUUUAUUCCUAGGUGUUUUAUGGGUUUUGGUUCAGUUGUAAAUUGGAUCAAUUCCUUGAUUUCUCUUUCUGUUGCUUCAUUGUUGGUGUAUAGGAAUGCAACCGAUUUCUGUGCAUUGAUUUUAUAUCCUGCAACUUUGCUGAAUUCAUAAGUUCUAGCAGUUUUUUGGUGGAAUCUUUUGGGUAUUCUAUAUAGAGUAUCACGUCAUCUGCAAAGAGUGAAAGUCUGACCUCCUCCUGGCUGAUUUGGAUGUCUUUUAUUUCUUUGUGUUGUCUGAUUGCUGAGGCUAAGACCUCCAAGCUAUGUUGAAUAACAGUGGCAAGAGUGGACAUCCCUGUCUUGUUUCUGACCUUAGGGGAAAGCUCUCAGGUUUUCCCCAUUGAGAAUGAUAUUAGCAUUGGGUCUUUCGUAUAUGGCUUUUAUGCUCUUGAGGUAUGAUCCUUCUAUCCCUACUUUCUUAAGGGUUUUUAUCAAGAAAGGAUGCUGUAUUUUGUGAAAUGCUUUCUCUGCAUCUAUUGAGAGGAUCAUGUGGUUCUUGUAUUUUCUUUUAUUGAUGUGAUAAAUCAUAUUGAUUUUUUUGUAGAUAUUGAACCAGGCCUGCAUCCCAGGUAUAAAUGCCACUUGGUUGUGAUGAAUAAUUUUUUUAAUGUAUUGUUGGAUCCGGUUGGCUAAUGUCUUGCUGAGGAUUUUUGCAUCCAUGUUCAUCAGAGAAAUUGUCUAUAUUUCUCCUUUUUAGUGGGGUCUUUGUCUGGUUUUGGACUCAUGGUAAUGCUGGCUUCAUAGAAAGAGUUUGGAAGUUUUCCUUCCAGUUCUAUUUUUUUGGAAUAGCUUCAACAGAAUAGGUGUUAACUCUUCUUAAAUGUUUGGUAGAAUUCCCCUGGAGAGCCAUCUGGCCCUGGACUCUUGAUUUUUGGGAGAUUUUUGAUUACUAAUUCAAUUUUUUACUGGUUAUGAGUCUGUUAAAAAUUUCUAUUUCUUUCUGUUUCAGUUUUGGUAAUUUAUAUAUUUCUGGGAAUUUGUCCCAUUUCUUCCAGAAUACCCAUUUUAUUGGUGUAUAAUUGCUCAUAAUAUUCUCUUAUUAUUGUUUUCAUUUUUGCUGUGUUGGUUGUGAUCUCUUCUCUUCACUCUUGAUUUUAUUUAUUUGGGUCCUUUCCUUUUUCUUUUUGAUCAAACUGACUAGUGGUUUAUCUAUUUUGUUAAUUCUUUCAAAGAACCAGCUUCUGGUUUCAUUGAUCUGUUCUCCUGUUUUUUUUUUGUUUGUUUGUUUUGUUUUGUUUUGUUUUGUUUUUGGUUUCAAUAGCAUUAAUUUCUGCUCUAAUCUUUAUUAUUUCCUGUUUUCUGCUGGUUUUGGGUUUUAUUUGAUGCUCUUUUUCCAGCUCUUUGAGGUGUAAGGUUAGGUUGUGUAUCUGAGACCUUUCUUCCUUCUUUAGGAAGGCCUAGAUUCCUAUAUACUUCCCUCUUAUGAACGCCUUUGCUGUGUCCCAGAGGUUUUGGGCUGUGGUGUUUUCAUUUUCAUUGGCAUCCGUGUACUUUUUAAUUUCCUCUUUAGCUUCUUGGUUAGCCCAUUCAUUCUUUAGUAGGAUGUUCUUUAGUCUCCAAGUAUUUGUUACCUUUCUAAAUUUUUUCAUGUGGUUGAUUUCAAGUUUCAUAGCGUUGUGGUCUGAAAAUACGUAUGGUAUGAUCUUGAUCUUUUUGUAGUUGUUGAGGGCUGAUUUGUGUCCCAGUAUGUGGUCUAUUCUGGAGAAUGUUUCAUGUGCACUGAAGAAGAAUGUAUAUUCCGCUGCUUUAGGUUGAAAUGUUCUGAAUAUAUCUGUGAAGUCCAUCUGGUCCAGCAUGUCAUUCAAAGCCACUCUUUCCUUGUUGAUUUUCUGCUUAGAUGAUCUGUCCAUUGUUGUAAGUGGGGGUGUGGAAGUCCCUUCUAUUAUGGUAUUAUUAUUAAUGAGUUUCUUUAUGUUUGUGAUUCAUUGAUUUAUAUAUUUUUUUGCUCCACAUUUGGAGCAUAAAUGUUUACAAUUGUUAGGUCUUCUUGGUGGAUAAACCCCUUAAUUAUGACAUAAUGCUCUUCUUCAUCCAUUGUUACAGUCUUUAUUUUAAAGUCUAGAUUGUCUGAUGUAAGUAUGGCUACUCCAGCUUUCUUUUGUCGACAAUUAGCAUGAUAGAUGGUUCUCCAUCCUCUUACUUUCAACCUGAAGGUGUCUUUAGGUCUAAAGUGGGUCUCUUGUAAACAGCAUAUAGAUGGAUCUUGUUUUCUUAUCCAUUCUGUUACCCUUUGUCUUUUGAUAGGAGCAUUUAGUCCAUUGACAUUUAGAGUGAGUACUGAAAGAUAUAAAUUUAUUGCCAUUAUGUUGCUUGUAGAGUUGGAGUUUCUGGUGGUGUUCUCUGGUCCUUUCUAGUCUUUGUUGCUUUUGGUACUUAUGUAUGUAUGUAUGUAUGUAUGUAUGUAUGUAUUCUUUUCUCCCCUCAGAGCGUCCCCCUUAAAAUUUCUUACAGAGCUGGCUUAGUGGUUAUGAACUCCUUUAAUUUUUGUUUGUUUGGGAAACUUUUAAUCUCUCCUUCUAUUUUGAAUGACAGCCUUGCUGGAUAAAGAAUUCUUGGCUGCAUAUUUUUCUGAUUCAGCACAUUGAAUAUAUCCUGCCACUCCUUUCUGGCCUGCCAAGUUUCUGUGGAUAGGUCUGCUGCAAACCUGAUCUGUCUUCCCUUGUAGGUUAAGGACUUUUUUUCCCUUGCUGCUUUCAUGAUUCUCUCCUUGCCUGAGUAUUUUGUGAAUUUGACUAUGAUAUGCCUUGUUGAUGGUCGAUGUUUGUUGAAUUUUUAUGGGAGUCCUCUCUACUUCCUGGAUUUUGAUGUCUGUGUCUUUCCCCAGGUUAGGAAAGUUUUCUGCUAUGAUUUGUUCAUGUAACACUUCUACCCCUUUUGCUCUCUCUUCAUCUUCUGGGACCCCUAUGAAUCUGAUGUUGUUCCUUUUUAAUGAGUCACUGAUUUCUCUAAUUCUUAAAUCGUACUCUUUUGCCUUAGUCUCCCUCUUUUUUUCUGCUUCCUUUUUCUCCAUAAAUUUGUCCUCUAUAUCACUGAUUUGCUGCUGUGUCUCAUCCAUCUUUGCCACUGUGGCAUCCAUUCGAAAUUGCAGCUCAGUUAUAGCAAUUUAAAAUUUCAUCCGGCCUAGCUUUUACUUCUUUUUUCUCUACAGAGAGGGAUUCUAAUCUAUUUCUGACUCCAGCUAGUGUUCUAUUAUCGUGAUUCUAAAUCUGGUUCAGACAUCUUACUUGUAUCUGUGUUGGUUAAGUUCCUGGCUGUUGUUUCUUCCUACUCUUUCUUUCGAGGUGAAUUCCUUCAUUUUGUCAUUUUUAAAAAAAAAUUUUUAAUGUUUAUUUAUUUUUGGAGAGAGACACAGAGUGUGAGUGGGGGAGGGGCAGAGAGAGAGGGAGACACAGAAUCGGAAGCAGGCUCCGGGCUCUGAGCUAUCAGCGCAGAGCCCGAUGCGGGGCUCGAACCCACGAACUGUGAGAUCAUGACCUGAGCCGAAGUCGGACACCCAACUGACUGAGCCACCCAGGCAUCCCUCGUUUUGUCAUUUUGAAGGAAGAAAAGGAAUUAAUGAGGUAAAAAAAUUUAAAACAAUUAAAAUUUAAAAAAUUAAAAAAUUUUAAAAAACAUACACACAUACACACAAAUCAAAUAAAUGAUGUUAGAUCUUAGGUGUGUUUUGGUCUGGAUGUUGAAAGGGGCUUGAUAGAUUAGAGAAAAUGGGGGGGGGAAAGGAAACCGUUUGAAAAUUUGAAAAAAUGAAUACAAGUACACUGAAAUUAUUGAAGUCAAAUAGAAUUUGAAAAAUUUACAAAAAAGUAAAAAAAUAUAGUUGAAAGAAAUUUUAAAAUAUUUUAAUAAAAGUUGAAAAUAAAAAUAAAUAUUUUCUUUCUGUAUUCAAGAAAAAGAAAAAAGGAAAAGAGAAAAAAAAGAAAAUUGAAUAGAUGGACCAGCGAACAGACUGAAAUAUGAUUGAAAUUACUUUGUUUUCCCCUAGAAGUCAAACUAUGAAGUACUUUAUAGUCCGUAAACUCAGCAGGCAGAGACUUGUGUUCCUGAAGAGCGAAGUUGGUCCAGUUGGGCGGGGCUUAGUGUAAUGGCUCCAUUCUCCACUAGAUGGCACUGCUUAGCUUACUGGGGUGGAUUGUUGUGGCGCUCGUAUGUGCAUAUGCGCAUGCGUGGGAGUGGUGAAAAUGGUGUCACCCAGCUACCCAGUCUCUAGUAUCGGAGCUCUGUUUUCCCCAAUUAUCAAUCACGCACCUGUCCUUUGUCUCUGGCUUCCAUCCACUUCCUGCUUUCACACUGUCUGUGAUCCAGCCCCAGGCAGCAUCUCCCUCCUGAGUUUUAUCUCAGAUGCGGCUGUUUUUCCCGACCCCUUACUUCUGAGGGACUGUGGCUUUGACCCGUUCUGCCCCUCUGCCGGAGGGUCUCACCGAGCAAUGCCUGGGUGCUGGCUGCACCCAGGAAUGUUCGCAGGACUGUGCUGCUGCCGAUGCCCAGAGACUGCGGCUGGGUUCCAGUCAACCCCAGAAAAAGUUCAAGCGAUCAUGUAGCAGCAGUGUUUCAGGGAUUAUGGAAAAUCAUAAUACACAUCUGGCACUAGGUUUCACCCUUUAGGACUUUGUUCCAGCACCAGUGAAUGUGGUUGUUUUCCCGGGUCCACUGGGGCCUUUGCCUGUGGGAGAGCCACACAGCCUCUACCAGGUGUCCUCCCAGCAGGGGAACUGGCUCUCCCUGUGUGGCCCAAAGACCUCUGGACCUCACUUUGCUCCUGAGGAUUCACCCUUCUCACCAGAGCACCACCAGGUUCGAGCUGCGCUGUUUCAGACUCUGUGCUCCCCCGUUUAUAGUGUCUUAAUGGAAUUUAAACCCUCUCCUUUCUCCUUUCUCCCUUUUUAGUUCAGUCCCUGUGCCUGUUUCUACUUUACCACUUUCUCUCCAGCUGCUUUUGAGGGGGUGUUUUUCCUGUAUUCUCCCCCCCCCUUCCCCCUCCAUCCUCUGUCCACAAGCAAAAACAGCUCCCUGCCCUGCAGAGCUUCUCUUUCCCCCAGUUCACCUCUCCAUGUCAUGUACCUGCUGAGUUCUUUGGUUCAUGUUGUGCAGAUUGUUGUGUUAAUCCUCAGAUCAGUUUUCUAGGUGAGCAGGAAGGUUUAGUGUUGAUCUGGCUGUAUUUCAUGGAUCCAAGAUGCAAAAAAUACAAUUCCAUUCUGUUCCACCAUCUCGGCUCCUCCCAACCUUCUCUUUUUCUAAUGUAAUCUCAGAUAUAAUCCUCACUCCUGAACAUCACUGAAAAGUACCAGGGAAAUGUCUCUCUCCUUGCUUCCUGGUGACACCUUUGAGCAACUGUUCUCCUGCCAUCGUUUAACAACCUCUCUUUAGUCUAUGUCACUUCCAGAUCUCAGUCAGCCAUGGCCUGGAGUAAAAGAGGUGAGCAUAAGGACACAGGAUAACCCACCAUAUUUCUCCUUUCAUAGAGACACUCAGCCUCAAUCAACUGUAUCUGUUGUUUCCACACCUCCCAGUGGGGCUUUCUCUGUCUUCCUGAUCCACUUGGACAAGCCAAGGCAUCAUCUCAUAUGAUGUCUUCAUAUGAGAGUCCAAAGCAGGCUUUUUUUUUUUUAUUUCUAGAGGAUAAAUUCAGACUUAUGAAUUCUUGUAAAAUGCAGUAUUUCCUAAUCUUUAAUGGUAGAAAUUUUAGGCAACUUUCAAGAGUAAAGCCAGUGAAUUAAGGUUAAAGUGCCCAUGGUCACAUCACUGGACAAAGAUAGGCCUAGAAUUCAGACUCUAAUUCUAGCGCUCAUUCCUCUAAACCAGAAUACCUUGGAUGUGGAACCUAACUGAAGACCAUGACAUAGCCUCGGUUUACUUAGAGAAGGAAAUGUGACAAAGCAUAUGUCAUUUGUUUCUGUUUAAAUGUUCAAGUUACUCAUCUUUUUUUUAAAGUUUAUUUACUUUUGAGAGAGAGAGAGAGACAGAGCGCGAGCAGGGGAGGGCCAAGAGAGAGGGAGACAUAUAAUCCGAAGCAGGCUCCAGGCUCUGAGCUGUCAGCACAGAGCCUGACCUGGGGCUUGAACCCAUGAACCAUGAGAUCAUGACCUAAGCUGAAGUCGGAUGCAUAACUGACUGAGCCACCCAGGUGCCCCUCAAGUUCCUCAUCUUAAAGAAUCUGUUGCAUAACAGCUAACACUCAGGUUGGAUGUUUCAGGAAGAUUGUUUAGAAUGUUUUUUAAAAAAUGUGCUGGAGAUUUUCAUAGAAAUGUCUACUUUUCCUGAUAGCCUUUUAUUUCCUCAUCUUUCUCUUUCUUCUCACAUACACAUGCAAGUUUUUCUCUUCCUACUGUUUGCACAGAAACAGGAUAUGUUGAGAACAAGUUCAAAGAGGUACCUAUGUGGAAAGGUUCACAGUUGACACAAAUCAAGAAUAGAUCAGUGAAGUGGAAACCAGUGGAACAAUGUUAUUAUUGUUUAUAUUCAGGCAACAUUGGCAAAAAUACCCCGCGCACUGUGACAUGAAACUGAGCUUCUAAAUAAGCGAUAACUACUUUAGUGUAGAGCUUUACUUUCGUUAACUUGUUUACUUUAUGAUUGUAAUGCUACUUAGUAAUUUUCUGUUAAUGAACUUUCUAAGAUCAUUAGUGUAUAGUCUUAAAAUUAGGCAUGCAUCCUUGUUUUAAUAAGAGCUUGCAAUGCACAGGAGCCAGCUGUCACAUUUUCAGUUUGAAUAUAAGAAUUAUCCCACACGCCCCUACUAAAUCAGUAUUGACAUCUAUAAACAAGACUAAUAGGAGAUAUAAAAAUAAUAAAUGAUUAGCCCUGUGAAUAGGCAUGUGGAAUUACUUAUUGCUUUUCCCUGUUCUGUUUGUUAAUGUUUAUUUAUUUUUGAGAGAGAGACAGAGAGACAGACAGACAGAGAGUGGGGGGAGAGACAGAGAGAAGAGGGAGACAAAGAAUCCGAAGCAGGUUCAAGGCUCUAAGCUGUCAGCACAGAGCCAAACACAGGGCUCAAACCUACCAACCGUGAGAUCAUGACCUGAGCGGAAGUCCGACGCUUAAUUGACCUGAGAUGAAACAGGAUGCUUAACCUAAUAAGCCACCCAGGUGCCCCUCCCUGUUCUGGUUGUUAACCAGAGUUUGAUUACCUGUAAUAAACACAAGCAAAAUGUAUAUUGUUUCAUGGGAUACCAAAAAAAAAAAAAAAAAAGAAAAAAAAAGAAUGUUUCAGGCACAAUAUCCUGAGUUAACUCUCACAAUACUUCUUAGAAAAAAUGAUCAUCCCCAUUUCUAGUAAUGAAUAAGGUCAUUCCCAGGGAGGAGAAGCAAGUGGUGGAAAGAAGAUUCACACUCAUCAUCCUUACACCACACUACAGGCUUUUUCUGCAAUGCUUGCUUCCUUCCCUCCUUUUCAAAGUUGUGUGUCCUUCCUCACAACACUUCUCAUUUCCAAUUCUGAGGCAAAGCAUUUAUACAAAUACACUGAUAGACACUUGCUUACUCACGAUGGGUUAUUUCCACUGUCCUCUUUUGAGUAUUCCCAAAACUGAGGGGAAAAGGCUGCUUCCGAUCAGCCUUUUCUAGUGUUACAUAUCCUUUCCUCUCCCUCUAAUCUGAAGGAACCCCACAAACAUAUAUAUAGCACUGAAAGUCAUUCUUUUCUUUCUUCAACUAUGUUUCUCCUUUCUCCUUCCCAUUUUCUAUUCUGGCACUGGAGGAGCACUGGAAAGCACAUCCUUACAGACAUGCUCUUUUUUUUAGGGACCCUAUUUUUUAAAACAAUUAAUUGCAAAAAUACAUGAUGUAAAAUUCUUAAGCAUUCUCAAGUGUAUAGUACCUUUACUAUAUUUACAUUGUAACAGAUCUCUAGAGGUCUUCUCUCCCAAAGCUGACACCCUAUAUCCAUUGAAUAACUCCUCAUUUUACUCUCCUUCCACCCCAGUCCCUGGCAACUACCCUCCUACUUUCUGUUUCCAUAAUUUUGAGCAUCCUAGACAUCUCAUAUUUGUGACUGGCUUAUUUCACUUAGCGUGGUGUCCUCAAGGUUCAUCCAUGUUGUGGCAUGUAAUAGAAUUUCCUAAUUUCUAAAGGAUGAAUAGUAUUUGAUUAUUUAUAUUUACUACAUUUUCUUUAUUCAUCUAUCACUGGACAUUUGGCUCCUUCCACCUCUUGGCUAUUGUGAAUAAUGCUGCAAUGAAGAUGGGUGUAUAAAUAUUUUUGGGGGAUCCUGCUUUAAGUUCUUUUAGAUAUAUACCCACAGGUGGGAUUGCUGGAUCAUAUGGCAAUUCUAACAUUUAGUUUUUUGAGAACCUUCCCUACUAGGUUCCACAUAUUUGCCAAAACUUGUUAUUUUCUAUUUUUUUUUAUAUAGUGGCCAUCCUAAUGUGUCAUUGGGAUUCUGUUUUCCAUUUCUGUAAUGAUUAGUAAGUAUGCACUAUUUUUUUUAAUUUAAAAUGUUUUGGUUUUAUAAUUGAGAACAUACUAUGUGCUAGGUACUGUGUUAAGCGCUUUGUAUGCAAUAGCUUACUACUUUUAACAACCAUCCUGUGGCCUAGUGGUAUUGUGUUUGAAGAAACUGAGAAUCAGAGUUUGAGUAGUUUUCCUAAGGACAGAGAACUGCUACACAGUGAAAUCAGAAUUCAAAACCAGUUUUGAUACCAAAGCUCACAUUUCUAACAGUUGAGUUAUCUCCCUGCUUUUUGCUUUAGCUAUUAAUUCGCUAAGCCAAUUUUUGGUGAUGUAUACAGUUCUAUACAAAGGAAAGGGAGAGUCAUAUUUGUUAAGUGACUGGCUUGUGCCAGACACCACUAAAUGCUCACAGAUACGUAGGUGUGAGUGUGUUUUGGAGUGGGGUGAAAGAGGGAAGUCCUUGCAUUUUACACAUACAAGCUUUUAUUCCAUUUACAUGGUUGGCAUUGCAAGUCACAGAGUGCAAUGGAAACAAAGUUGAGUUUGUUUUCUUACCAUAGUCUUUGUAAAUUUGAAGGUCAUUUUUGCUGAUAAAUAUACUCUUAAGAAAUAUGCAGGAAUUCCAGAUAAAUUCCAAUUCCAAUUAAGGAGUUGACUGUAUCUCAUAGAGAGGGUACACAAGCAAUAAACUACAGGAAAGAAGAGUCUUAGCUAGGAUAAAAGGAAACAAAAAUAAAUGAGUACGUAAACUAGGAACUACCAGUUAGUUUAUUCUCUUGAGCACUUGCUCUGCUGCACCAGCUCUAUUUUCCCCAUGUAGAGUGCCUACAACUGCUUCCAUAUUGUCUCCCCUGUUCUACUUCACCUCAUGGUAGAAACAAAAACAGUGGGUCAAGAGGUAUUUUAGUUUUGCUAACACAGUGACAAAUUCAGAACUGAUGGGACAUUUAAGAUGACCCUAAACCCAGGAAAAUUGAGUCACGUGAAUACAUGACUCUUGACUGCCUAUGGUAACCCCCUACUACUGAAAUCUUUAGCCCAAACUUCAUUUGGUCAUGAAAAGCAUGAAGAGAAUGGGAAGCUAAAAUCAUUUCAUCUGUGCCUUACAUUUAAAACGCAUAUUAACCUCUUAUCUGGAUUGAAAUAGUUUGGGAUAUAUUACUGCAAUAUUUCAAAUUCGUAAUACCAAUUAUAAACAAAAACAUCUUUAGGUAAGAGUAUAAAUCUCCCAAUAAACUUACAAAAGAGGUGAUAAAAAUGGCUGCUGGUAUUUAUAAUAUUCGUCAAGUGCUGCUAAUGUUAUAGAAACCAAUAAGCUAGCUAGUUUUUGUAGUUAAAUAUGAUAUUGCCACAGCCUUACCCCUAAAACGCAGGGACAGUGUAAGUGCGGUAAUGUAUUUUGUGUCACAGCCUUCAGUGUAAAUCAUGAGCCAGACACAGCACGCCAUAUUAUCUCAACUUUUGUAAAUUUUAUAGAUUUAGAAUUGCUGAAUUGAAAUGAAACUACCAAGUAAAAUUAAAUGCUGUUCAUAGAUAUCCUAUACCACUGUUGGGAAUCACAGCCAUCUGUGAAAAUUAUACCCAGAUUUAUUGCUCCAACCCAUUGCAUCUGUGCUCUUUAGCAAUGUUCUUUCACUCUUUUUGCUUUCUUUCCUCUUCUCUGUGAUUUAUUAUCUCCUUCUUUCAUCUCUAUUAACAGGUCAACAUCUCUUAAUUAUACCUGAAUGAGGCUUCGUUAUAUGCUCUUCUGAAGAAAAAAUGGCUUAUGACAGUAAAUGAGAAAACAAUUCAAGAAAACAAAUGAAAGCCAUAACUUUGCUAUGUUAUUAGUACUUUAUUUCAUAUUGCUUAGUCUUAGUUCUUAAUUUUUAUGUAUUAUUCACCAGGAAGUUUGAAUAGUUAGGCUUGCAAAGCACCCCAUAACACAGUCGCAGGUUCUGUUAAUUAUUUUGGUGUUGAGAUAUAAAAGUUAAGUCUACAAUGUAAUGUAUAUUUCACAAUUUCUCAGAGUCCAUGGCUUUCACAUGAAUAUUUUUAAUGAGGCAGUUCAAUAAAAUUUUUAUAAAUGAAUUUUAGUUAACAAAAAAUUGUCCCUGUGAAAUAGAAUUGCUCUAUUGGUAUUUCUUUAUUUAUUUAUUAAAAUUUUUUUUUUUUAACAUUUAUUCAUUUUUGAGAGACAGAGUGAGACAGAGCAUGAGCAGGGGAAGGGAGAGAGAGAGGGAGACACAGAUUCUGAAGCAGGAUUCAGGUUCUGAGCUGUCAGCAAAGAGCCCAACAUGGAGCUCGAACCCAUGAACUAUGAGAUCAUGACCUGAGCUGAAGUCAGACACUUAACCCGCUGAGACACCCAGGUGCCCUGGUAUUUCUUAGUUUAUAAAUGAGAAAACAGUAGCUUAGUAAGGUUAAUGGAGAUACCCAAGUCAUAUGGGUCAUAAGUACAUGUAAUUUGGAUGUAUAAAUAUGGAUGUCAUAUUCAAAAAUCUGUGUUUGACCCAACAUAUCAUACUACUAAUGCUAUCUUAUAUUAUGUUAUUUUCACUUAAAUAUUUUGUCAUGUAAGUAUUUCUAUCAUUUAUAUGGCUAUUAUUUUUAUUAUUCAGAUAAUUCCCCACCAAGUUGAUCGAUAUUUU